CAAGAACUUUAAGUUAAAACGUAGAGUGGAGAAAGAUGGUCUCGCGUCCCAUUAGUUAGUUGGUGAGGUAAUGGCUCACCAAGACGACGAUGGGUAGCCGACCUGAGAGGGUGAUCGGCCACACUGGAACUGAGACACGGUCCACACUCCUACGGGAGGCAGCAGUGGGGAAUAUUGCACAAUGGAGGAAACUCUGAUGCAGCGACGUCGCGUGAACGAUGAAGGCUUUCGAGUCGUAAAGUUCUGUCCUAGGGGACGAUAAUGACGGUUACCCUAGGAGGAACCCCCGGCUAACUCCGUGCCAGCAGCCGCGGUAAUACGGAGGAUCCGAGCGUUAUCCGGAAUUAUUGGGUUUAAAGGGUGCGUAGGCGGCCAUUUAAGUCAGCGGUGAAAUUUUGCAGCUUAACUGUAACAGUGCCGUUGAUACUGUUUGGCUAGGAUUUGGUUGUAGUGUGCGGAAUGUGUGGUGUAGCGGUGAAAUGCUUAGAUAUCACACAGAACACCGAUUGCGAAGGCAGCACGCUAAGUCAUUAUUGACGCUGAGGCACGAAAGUGUGGGGAUCAAACAGGAUUAGAUACCCUGGUAGUCCACACUGUAAACGAUGAUAACUCGCUGUCGGCGAUACACAGUCGGUGGCCAAGCGAAAGCAUUAAGUUAUCCACCUGGGGAGUACGACCGCAAGGUUGAAACUCAAAGGAAUUGACGGGGGCCCGCACAAGCGGAGGAACAUGUGGUUUAAUUCGAUGAUACGCGAGGAACCUUACCCGGGCUCGAACGGUGCAUGAAUAUACGAGAGAUUGUAUAGUCCUUCGGGACAUGUGUCGAGGUGCUGCAUGGUUGUCGUCAGCUCGUGCCGUGAGGUGUCGGCUUAAGUGCCAUAACGAGCGCAACCCUUGUCAUUAGUUGCCAUCAGGUCAAGCUGGGGACUUUAAUGAGACUGCCACCGUAAGGUGUGAGGAAGGGGGGGAUGACGUCAAAUCAGCACGGCCCUUAUGUCCGGGGCGACACACGUGUUACAAUGGGAGGUACAGAGGGCAGCUAUCCGGUGACGGAAUGCUAAUCUCCAAAACCUUUCUCAGUUCGGAUUGGAGUCUGCAACUCGACUCCAUGAAGGUGGAUUCGCUAGUAAUCGCGCAUCAGCCAUGGCGCGGUGAAUACGUUCCCGGGCCUUGUACUCACCGCCCGUCA
RNAcentral lists this ribosomal RNA (1189 nucleotides) under uncultured bacterium. RNAcentral describes it as "bacterial SSU rRNA". It matches the Rfam family "Bacterial small subunit ribosomal RNA", at positions 188 to 1399 of the family's 1533-position model. The record is from RNAcentral.